RNAcentral lists this long non-coding RNA (679 nucleotides) under Bos taurus (domestic cattle). RNAcentral's name for it is "long non-coding RNA NONBTAT016089". The record is from RNAcentral. Lineage: Eukaryota; Metazoa; Chordata; Mammalia; Artiodactyla; Bovidae.
CUUUAGUUAGCAUUUCCAGGCAAAUUUAAAAAUGUCUAUUACAUUUUAAAAAAUAUCUAUUAACUUCAGUCCUUGUAGCUGUCCAAAUUGUAUCCAAAUUACGGGUACACCAUAAAUGCUAACUAUCAUUAUUAGCUACGACAGAUAUUUGGAUAUCUGUCCAAAUAUAAUCAGUGUGCUCAACUUAAGGAGUCAAAUAUCCAUACACAUAACCAAGAAUCUAAAAUGAGUUCCCUACAUUCUAGCCCUGUCAACAGCACCUGCUCAGACACUCUACCAGGGUUAAGCAAACGUAUUAGCACUGGAGCCACCAGGAGCCUUAGAAAAGCAUAGGAAGCACUUGCCCCUCCAGGCUCUGUCCCAGGCACCCUCUGAGAGCCAGACUGAAAACUCAAGUACAUUUCUCCUUUUAUUUUCUUAUUCCUAUCCUUCAUACACACUAGGAAAACAAUUUUGAAAGAUAUAGGAAUUUAAAAGACCAUCAAGUAAACCCCUUAAUGUUAUAGAUUCCCCCUUUCUUUAAAACCCUGUAAGCAUCUGGCACAAUGCUUUCUAAAGUUCACAGUCACCAUUUAGUAAAUUUAAUUGUGGACAAUGUUAACUACCACCCAUGUCAAAUCUCAGUCUGCUACAAACCAAUCGCUUCAAGUAGUCAACAACUGUCAAUGAUCAAAAAUAA